GUCUUUGCCCAGCUCUGGGUUUGUACCUGCCCUUCUGCCCACAGCGAUGGUGUCAUUUUGACCUUGAUCUGGGAAUUGCUGUUCUUGUCAGCCUGUUGGCUCCCUCUGUUGAGGGAGACAGCUCUUUUGAGUGUCCAGGAGAUGGAAGUACAAAGGUGGACAAAUAUCUACACUCGGAAGGCAGACAAUAGUACCCCCCAAUUUCUGUUUGCACAUAGGUAACUUGGAUUCAUCAUAUGCUUUUUCUCCUGGACAAUCAGUCAACACAAUUAUUCAGUACCUCAUCUGUAAACUGCACUGUGUCAUCGCUGUGGUUAGUGCUAAAGAAAUGUGAAGUAUGUCCUUU
Molecule: long non-coding RNA, 346 nt
Filed under: Homo sapiens (human)
Lineage: Eukaryota; Metazoa; Chordata; Mammalia; Primates; Hominidae
Description: non-protein coding lnc-GRAMD1B-2:1
Source: RNAcentral